GACGAACGCUGGCGGCGUGCUUAACACAUGCAAGUCGAACGGAAAGGCCCUGCUUUUGUGGGGUGCUCGAGUGGCGAACGGGUGAGUAACACGUGAGUAACCUGCCCUUGACUUUGGGAUAACUUCAGGAAACUGGGGCUAAUACCGGAUAGGAGCUCCUGCUGCAUGGUGGGGGUUGGAAAGUUUCGGCGGUUGGGGAUGGACUCGCGGCUUAUCAGCUUGUUGGUGGGGUAGUGGCUUACCAAGGCUUUGACGGGUAGCCGGCCUGAGAGGGUGACCGGCCACCUUGGGACUGAGAUACCGCCCAGACUCCUACGGGAGGCAGCAGUGGGGAAUAUUGCACAAUGGGCGGAAGCCUGAUGCAGCAACGCCGCGUGCGGGAUGACGGCCUUCGGGUUGUAAACCGCUUUCGCCUGUGACGAAGCGUGAGUGACGGUAAUGGGUAAAGAAGCACCGGCUAACUACGUG
This 468-nucleotide ribosomal RNA is filed under the name uncultured bacterium. Its description in RNAcentral is "partial 16S ribosomal RNA". It matches the Rfam family "Bacterial small subunit ribosomal RNA", at positions 28 to 507 of the family's 1533-position model. The record is from RNAcentral.